GUUAAGCGUAUUACCUCAUUUAAAACAUCUAUUUUAUAACAUUAGAUAGAUUUAUAAGGAAAUUAAUAUGUUAUGUGCUCCUACACUUUACUCAGAGAGAUAUUUUCUUUCACUCGAAGCGGAGGUUUAGGGGAAGUUGGUUUUUAACAAGGAGAACACCGAAAACAGAGCCCUGCCUCAGCGCAUUGAGAUCAACUUGGAAUUCAGGAAUCACAACCUAUUUUCCAGUUUGUGAUCAUGUUUGAAAAGAGUCUCAAUAAGAUGACGAAAAGUAAGCAGUUGGACCUUCAUAUUCGCUACUGGGUGGAUGACCACGUCCAGUCACGAUACUUCGGCUCGCAGUUCAUGGGUCAUGCAACGUCCGUGGAC
Carassius auratus (goldfish) is the source of this 369-nucleotide long non-coding RNA. RefSeq lists it as uncharacterized. The transcript is spliced from 3 exons. NCBI's taxonomy places the organism in Eukaryota, Metazoa, Chordata, Actinopteri, Cypriniformes, Cyprinidae. The record is from RefSeq and is a predicted model, not a curated record.